RNAcentral lists this ribosomal RNA (418 nucleotides) under uncultured bacterium. Its description in RNAcentral is "bacterial SSU rRNA". It matches the Rfam family "Bacterial small subunit ribosomal RNA", at positions 974 to 1387 of the family's 1533-position model. The record is from RNAcentral.
CCUACCCUUGACAUGUCAGGAAGUCCGCAGAGAUGUGGAUGUGCUCGAAAGAGAACCUGAACGCAGGUGCUGCAUGGCUGUCGUCAGCUCGUGUCGUGAGAUGUUGGGUUAAGUCCCGCAACGAGCGCAACCCUUGUCAUUAGUUGAUACGAAAGGGCACUCUAAUGAGACUGCCGGUGACAAACCGGAGGAAGGUGGGGAUGACGUCAAGUCCUCAUGGCCCUUAUAGGUGGGGCUACACACGUCAUACAAUGGCUGGUACAAAGGGUUGCCAACCCGCGAGGGGGAGCCAAUCCCAUAAAGCCAGUCGUAGUCCGGAUCGCAGUCUGCAACUCGACUGCGUGAAGUCGGAAUCGCUAGUAAUCGUGGAUCAGCAUGUCACGGUGAAUACGUUCCCGGGUCUUGUACACACGCAAUC